GGGUGAGGUAACGCGUGGGAAUGUACCUUUUGGUUCGGAAUAACUACGGGAAACUGUGGAUAAUACCGGAUAAGCCCUUCGGGGAAAGAUUUAUCGCCAAAGAGCAGCCCGCGUUAGAUUAGGUAGUUGGUGGGGUAAUGGCCUACCAAGCCUUCGAUCUAUAGCUGGUCUGAGAGGAUGAUCAGCCACACUGGGACUGAGACACGGCCCAG
This 212-nucleotide ribosomal RNA is filed under the name uncultured bacterium. RNAcentral describes it as "partial 16S ribosomal RNA". It matches the Rfam family "Bacterial small subunit ribosomal RNA", at positions 104 to 334 of the family's 1533-position model. The record is from RNAcentral.